RNAcentral lists this ribosomal RNA (460 nucleotides) under uncultured bacterium. RNAcentral describes it as "partial 16S ribosomal RNA". It matches the Rfam family "Bacterial small subunit ribosomal RNA", at positions 338 to 795 of the family's 1533-position model. The record is from RNAcentral.
CCUACGGGUGGCAGCAGUGAGGAAUAUUGGUCAAUGGGCGGAAGCCUGAACCAGCCAAGUCGCGUGAGGGAAUAAGGCCCUACGGGUCGUAAACCUCUUUUGCCGGGGAACAAGGGCCGGGACGUGUCCCGGUCCGGAGAGUACCCGGCGACAAAGCAUCGGCUAACUCCGUGCCAGCAGCCGCGGUAAUACGGAGGAUGCGAGCGUUCUCCGGAUUUAUUGGGUUUAAAGGGUGCGUAGGCGGGCUUUUAAGUCAGCGGUAAAAAUUCGGGGCUCAACCCCGUCCGGCCGUUGAAACUGGGGGCCUUGAGUGGGCGAGAAGAAGGCGGAAUGCGUGGUGUAGCGGUGAAAUGCAUAGAUAUCACGCAGAACCCCGAUUGCGAAGGCAGCCUUCCGGCGCCCGACUGACGCUGAGGCACGAAAGUGUGGGGAUCGAACAGGAUUAGAUACCCUUGUAGUC